UGGGGAAUAUUGCACAAUGGGCGCAAGCCUGAUGCAGCCAUGCCGCGUGUGUGAAGAAGGCCUUCGGGUUGUAAAGCACUUUCAGCGGGGAGGAAGGCGUUAAGGUUAAUAACCUUGGCGAUUGACGUUACCCGCAGAAGAAGCACCGGCUAACUCCGUGCCAGCAGCCGCGGUAAUACGGAGGGUGCAAGCGUUAAUCGGAAUUACUGAGCGUAAAGCGCACGCAGGCGGUCUGUCAAGUCGGAUGUGAAAUCCCCGGGCUCAACCUGGGAACUGCAUUCGAAACUGGCAGGCUAGAGUCUUGUAGAGGGGGGUAGAAUUCCAGGUGUAGCGGUGAAAUGCGUAGAGAUCUGGAGGAAUACCGGUGGCGAAGGCGGCCCCCUGGACAAAGACUGACGCUCAGGUGCGAAAGCGUGGGGAGCAAACAGG
This 429-nucleotide ribosomal RNA is filed under the name Chloroflexota bacterium. Its description in RNAcentral is "Chloroflexi bacterium partial 16S ribosomal RNA". It matches the Rfam family "Bacterial small subunit ribosomal RNA", at positions 355 to 776 of the family's 1533-position model. The record is from RNAcentral. Lineage: Bacteria; Bacillati; Chloroflexota.